UAUGAAGUGCAAUCGCUAGGUUGUGUGGAGUCGUUGUUGAAAUACCACCCUUUAUUUGCUUGAAAUCUAACGCGUUUACGCGAACAGUGCGUGGUGGGUAGUUUGACUGGGGUGGUCGCCUCCAAAAGAGUAACGGAGGCUUCUAAAGGUACCCUCAGCACGCUUGGUAACCGUGCGUAGAGUGCAAUAGCAUAAGGACGCUUGACUGUGAGACCGACAAGUCGAGCAGGGACGAAAGUCGAGUAUAGUGAUCCGGUGGUUCCGCAUGGAAGGGCCAUCGCUCAAAGGAUAAAAGGUACUCCGGGGAUAACAGGCUGAUUCCUCCCAAGAGUCCACAUCGACGGAGGAGUUUGGCACCUCGAUGUCGGCUCAUCACAUCCUGGGGCUG
This 388-nucleotide ribosomal RNA is filed under the name Karlodinium veneficum. Its description in RNAcentral is "partial Bacterial large subunit ribosomal RNA". It matches the Rfam family "Bacterial large subunit ribosomal RNA", at positions 2156 to 2555 of the family's 2925-position model. Lineage: Eukaryota; Dinophyceae; Gymnodiniales; Kareniaceae. The record is from RNAcentral.